RNAcentral lists this ribosomal RNA (444 nucleotides) under uncultured bacterium. Its description in RNAcentral is "partial 16S ribosomal RNA". It matches the Rfam family "Bacterial small subunit ribosomal RNA", at positions 354 to 796 of the family's 1533-position model. The record is from RNAcentral.
GUAGGGAAUAUUGGGCAAUGGACGGAAGUCUGACCCAGCCAUGCCGCGUGCAGGAAGAAGGCGUUAUGCGUUGUAAACUGCUUUUUUAUAGGAAGAAGGAGACCUUGCGAGGUUUGGUGACGGUACUAUAAGAAUAAGCACCGGCUAACUCCGUGCCAGCAGCCGCGGUAAUACGGAGGGUGCGAGCGUUGUCCGGAUUUAUUGGGUUUAAAGGGUGCGUAGGCGGUUUAUUAAGUCAGUGGUGAAAGACGGUCGCUCAACGAUUGCAGUGCCAUUGAUACUGGUAGACUUGAGUUCGUAUGAGGUAGCUGGAAUGGAUAGUGUAGCGGUGAAAUGCAUAGAUAUUAUCCAGAACUCCAAUUGCGUAGGCAGGUUACUAAUACGAUACUGACGCUGAUGCACGAAAGUGUGGGGAUCAAACAGGAUUAGAAACCCCGGUAGUCC